Molecule: ribosomal RNA, 506 nt
Filed under: uncultured bacterium
Lineage: Bacteria
Description: bacterial SSU rRNA
Rfam family: Bacterial small subunit ribosomal RNA
Source: RNAcentral
CAUGCCUAAGACAUGCAAGUCGAACGAGAUGGUCCAAUGAAGAUGGAGUGCUUGCACAAAGUUGGAUUUGGUUCGCCAUCUAGUGGCAGACGGGUGAGUAACACGUGGGUGACCUACCUUUUAGUUGGGGAUAACAAUUGGAAACGAUUGCUAAUACCGAAUAAGAUAUAACUGUCGUGGUUAUAUUGAAAGGAGCCUUUAAAGCUUCGCUUAAAGAUGGGCCUGCGGCGUAUUAACUAGUUGGUGAGGUAAUGGCUUACCAAGGUGACGAUGCGUAGCCGGACUGAGAGGUUGAACGGCCACACUGGGACUGAGACACGGCCCAGACUCCUACGGGAGACAGCAGUUAGGAAUAUUCGUCAAUGGGGGAAACCCUGAACGAGCAAUGCCGCGUGAGUGAUGAAGGUCUUUGGAUUGUAAAACUCUGUUGUAUGGAAAAAAUGGCUAGGUUAGGAAAUGAACUUAGUUUGAUGGUACCAUACCAGAAAGCCCCGGCUAACUACGUG